Molecule: ribosomal RNA, 494 nt
Filed under: uncultured bacterium
Lineage: Bacteria
Description: partial 16S ribosomal RNA
Rfam family: Bacterial small subunit ribosomal RNA
Source: RNAcentral
GACGAACGCUGGCGGCGCGCUUAACACAUGCAAGUCGAACGGAAAGGCCUGCUUUCCCUUGUGGAUUGCGGGUACUCGAGUGGCGAACGGGUGAGUAACACGUGAGUGAUCUGCCCCCAACUUGGGUAUAAGCCUGGGAAACUGGGUCUAAUUCCCGAUAGGACUGCAGGGUGGUGCCUGUGGUGGAAAACGAUUUUCUAGUGGUUGGGGAUGAGCUCGCGGCCUAUCAGCUUGUUGGUGGGGGAAUGGCCUACCAAGGCGGCGACGGGUAGCCGGCCUGGGGGGGGGGGGCGGCCAAUUGGGGAAUGGGAACCGGCCCAGACCCGUCGGGGGGGCAGCGGGGGGGAAGAUUGCCCAAGGGGCGGAGGCCUGAGGCCGCGCCCGCGGGGGGGGGAGGAGGGCCUUGGGGUUGUAAACCCCUUUGGGCCGGGAGGAAGCCACCUGGUUGGAGGGGUGGGAGCGGUAGGGGUAGAAGAAGCCCCGGUUAACUACGG